This 253-nucleotide ribosomal RNA is filed under the name uncultured bacterium. RNAcentral's name for it is "partial 16S ribosomal RNA". It matches the Rfam family "Bacterial small subunit ribosomal RNA", at positions 524 to 776 of the family's 1533-position model. The record is from RNAcentral.
UACGAAGGGGGCUAGCGUUGCUCGGAAUCACUGGGCGUAAAGCGCACGUAGGCGGAUUGCUAAGUCAGGGGUGAAAUCCUGGAGCUCAACUCCAGAACUGCCUUUGAUACUGGCGAUCUUGAGUCCGGGAGAGGUGAGUGGAACUGCGAGUGUAGAGGUGAAAUUCGUAGAUAUUCGCAAGAACACCAGUGGCGAAGGCGGCUCACUGGCCCGGUACUGACGCUGAGGCGCGAAAGCUAGGGUAGCAAACGGG